GACGAACGCUGGCGGCGUGCCUAAUACAUGCAAGUCGAGCGAAUCUGCCUUGAAGAUCCGAGUGCUUGCACUCUGUGAAACAAGAUACAGACUAGCGGCGGACGGGUGAGUAACACGUGGAUAACCUGCCCAAGACAUCGGUAUAACCCCUGGAAACAGAUACUAAUACCGGUUAACAACAAAUGAUGCCUAUCAGCUGAUUAAAAGAUGGUUCUGCUCUCACUCUUGGAUGGACCUGCGGUGCAUUAGCUAGUUGGUAGGGUAACGGGCUUACAAGGCGAUGGAUCAUAGGCGGGUUUAGAGACGGGUUCGCCACAUUUGGACUUAGACACGGGCCAAACUCCCUCGGGAGGGAGCAGUUGGGAAUCUUCCAGAAAGGGCGCAAGUCUGGUGGAACAACGCCGCGUGAGGGAAGAAGGGUUUCCGCUUGGUAAGCUCUGUUUAUGGGGAAGAAGGACAGGUGUAGGAACUGAUCUUUGUUUGACGGUAAUCAAUUAGAAAGGCACGGCUAACUUCGUG
RNAcentral lists this ribosomal RNA (519 nucleotides) under uncultured bacterium. RNAcentral's name for it is "partial 16S ribosomal RNA". It matches the Rfam family "Bacterial small subunit ribosomal RNA", at positions 28 to 507 of the family's 1533-position model. The record is from RNAcentral.